UUUUACAAUGAAGAGUUUGAUCCUGGCUCAGGAUGAACGCUAGCUACAGGCUUAACACAUGCAAGUCGAGGGGCAGCGGGAUUGAAGCUUGCUUCAAUUGCCGGCGACCGGCGCACGGGUGAGUAACGCGUAUCCAACCUUCCGUACACUCAGGGAUAGCCUUUCGAAAGAAAGAUUAAUACCUGAUGGUAUCUUAAGCACACAUGUAAUUAAGAUUAAAGAUU
Molecule: ribosomal RNA, 224 nt
Filed under: Phocaeicola plebeius
Lineage: Bacteria; Pseudomonadati; Bacteroidota; Bacteroidia; Bacteroidales; Bacteroidaceae
Description: partial 16S ribosomal RNA
Rfam family: Bacterial small subunit ribosomal RNA
Source: RNAcentral